RNAcentral lists this small RNA (3006 nucleotides) under Pan troglodytes (chimpanzee). Its description in RNAcentral is "retained intron". Lineage: Eukaryota; Metazoa; Chordata; Mammalia; Primates; Hominidae. The record is from RNAcentral.
GUGAUGUACCAGGACCCUCCCUGGGACAGUCCACGCAGUGGCAAAGGCUGGACAGUCAGGAGGAAAACCCCGUGGGCCCGGCUCAGUGCCGUCAGAGCUCACCGCCACCUCGGGUGGGAAGGCAUUCUGUGAGCCGUGUGCAGAUGGCAGCUGGGGCAGGCCUCCUGCAGACCCAGGUGACUGACAGGGCGGUGAGGGCGCAUGCCCAGGGAUCUUACCUUGGUCAUGUGUGGAGGGCCUGCUGCCAGUUUCCUUCUGUGGAUGAUCCUGGGACCGUCCUUGCUUGGACACUGUUGACCUGCUGGCUCCAGCGUGGGCCCGGCUGUGCAGGCACGAAGUGUCCAUCAGAGCGUGGCCACCGAUGGCCCAAGCAGCACCCAGCCUGCCCUGCCAAAGGCCAGAGCCGUGGCUCCCAAACCCAGCAGCCGGGGCGAGUAUGUGGUGGCCAAGCUGGAUGACCUCGUCAACUGGGCCCGCCGGAGUUCUCUGUGGCCCAUGACCUUCGGCCUGGCCUGCUGCGCCGUGGAGAUGAUGCACAUGGCAGCACCCCGCUACGACAUGGACCGCUUCGGCGUGGUCUUCCGCGCCAGCCCGCGCCAGUCCGACGUCAUGAUCGUGGCCGGCACACUCACCAACAAGAUGGCCCCAGCGCUUCGCAAGGUAGGCCUCGUCCCAGCCGCCCAGCCGCCCCCAGAGUGAGCUGCGCACGGACCCCGCCUCUCUUCCAGGUCUACGACCAGAUGCCGGAGCCGCGCUACGUGGUCUCCAUGGGGAGCUGCGCCAACGGAGGAGGCUACUACCACUACUCCUACUCGGUGGUGAGGGGCUGCGACCGCAUCGUGCCCGUGGACAUCUACAUCCCAGGUAGGGCCGGGACCGCACCGCCCACGAGGAAGCUGGAGACAGGGCCAGCGCCACACGGAGCCCGGCGGCCCCUGUGAGGGAGUCCCACACCCCCAGCAGACGGCGGGCUCCCCCAUCCUAUGGAUGGGCCGACUCGGAGCGCUGCCUCUUAGUGGAGUGUGUCCCCUGUGAGAAGUCGGCGAUGUAUUCAGGCAUCAGAGGGAUCAGAGGGAGCAGGGGAAGCUGAGUGGAAUUCCUGACACUCGCCUGGUUUACAGCAGUUUCAUAUGGUCCUACCUGGCACAAACCAAAGACCUGCAGUUAGAAAUACCAAGAGAGAAGGUUCCUGGGGGCCAAGGACACUGUCCCGCGCCCUCAGCCUUACAGAAGGGCACGCAGGACUCCCUGGGACCCGGGGUGGCCGGAUUUGGCAAAUGAAAACGUGGGAGGCUUAGUUUGACUGUGAGGUUAGGGUGAAUUUGACCAUCAGGAAAACUGUUAGUAGUAAUUGUUUAGUACGAGUAUAUCCCAACAAUAUUUGGGCUAUACUGACACUACAAAGAGCAUUGGCUGCAUACCUGAAAUUCACAUCGCACCGGGAACAUUCUUUAUAUCUGGUGAUCCCGUGGGACUCUUGCACCUCACGUGGUCCCACGAGGGCCACCCCCCCGGGCGUUCACCUUGACAGUGGUCCACGGUAGGCAGGCUUGGAGGUGGUGCUCAUGUGGGACAGGGGACAGAGUCCUGUCCUUGGCCACCCUGUGCUGCGUGCGGCAUUAGCUCAUGCGCAGAGAGCCCAGCCCUGUGUCCCGAGUCUGGGGGUUUGGGCAAGCGAGAGGCACAUCCUGGUGCCUCUCAAAAGUGGAGGAACAGGCUCUGACUUUGGAUUCCGCUUCCCUGGAAAGGGCGUUGAUUUGUUCAGCGUUCUGCACGGUUCAGGUCACCCCGGGGGCAGUGGAGAGGGCAGCCUGGGCCUCCCCGUGACUUGACAGCACAGAGAGGUCCAUCCCGGGGUCAGGAGCUCAGCCCAUGCCCCUGGCGUCUUCCCCUGCAGUGCAGACCAAUGGGGCAAGUUGCGAGUGUGGACUGUACUCCUCCCUCCUUGCAGACUGAGCUCCUCCCUCCCUGCGGACCAUGCUCCUCCCUCCCUGGGGACCGCGCCCCUCCCUCCCUGGGGACUGCGCUCCUCCCUCCCUGCAGACCGCGCUCCUCCCUCCCUGGGGACCGAGCCCCUCCCUCCCAGCGGACCGUGCUCCUCCCUCCCUGGGGACCUCGCUCCUCCCUCCCUCCCUGCGGACUGUGCUUCUCCCUCCCUUGGAGCAGCCUGGACUUGCCAGAGCUCUGCCAGGUGGGGCCUGGCCGCCCUUUCCCAGGCCCUGCAGUGGCCUUGUCCUUUCUCACCUGUUUCCACUCCCGCUGUCCCCGUUGGGCCCUGGGCUUCGUCCUCUUGCUCAAGCCCUUUGCUCUGAACCUGCGUGGCAGCCGGGACUGGGGGAUCCCCAGCAAAGAGCUCUGGCUUGAGGCUCAGAAAGAGGGUCAUCGGGUCCUAGUGGGAUGCCCGGGCUCUGGGCCACCUCCCCUCCCUCCGCCCAGCCUCCCUGCCUCCAUCUCCGUCCAGGGCAGCCCCGGGCCCUGCUCCCCACGUCUGCUGAGCGCUGGCCCCCAUGGAGUCCUGAGGGCUGGGGCCGGGGGCCGGGUUAGUGAGGUCAGCGUCUUGUCCGAGAGGUCCCUGUGACAGCCCGGGAUGAGCCACGGGUGGAGGGCAGUGGGGCCUUGCCCAGGGGAGGACCCCACUCUUCCUGCAGGGACCUCCCCUGCGCCGGCUCCCAGCCCCUGGCACUGCGCCCACCCAGGGCUGUCAGCCUCCACCUUCAGAGGCCGGCCCGGGAGACCCCUCCAAAGCCGAGCCGGCUGCGCUGUGCACGCGGUCACGCGGGCUCCGGCUGCGGGAAGCGAGACUGAGGCAAGGUCCCUGCAGGCUGCCCACCUACGGCCGAGGCCCUGCUCUAUGGCAUCCUGCAGCUGCAGAGGAAGAUCAAGCGGGAGCGGAGGCUGCAGAUCUGGUACCGCAGGUAGCGCCGCCGCCGGAGCCUGUCGCUGUCCUGUCCCCAGCCUGCUUGUGUCCCGUGAGGUUGUCAGUAAACCUGCCCUCGGGCUGCCGCC